RNAcentral lists this ribosomal RNA (257 nucleotides) under uncultured bacterium. RNAcentral's name for it is "partial 16S ribosomal RNA". It matches the Rfam family "Bacterial small subunit ribosomal RNA", at positions 524 to 776 of the family's 1533-position model. The record is from RNAcentral.
UACGUAGGGUGCAAGCGUUGUCCGGAAUUAUUGGGCGUAAAGAGCUCGUAGGCGGUUCGUCGCGUCGGCUGUGAAAACCCGGAGCUCAACUCCGGGCCUGCAGUCGAUACGGGCGGACUAGAGUUCGGCAGGGGAGACUGGAAUUCCUGGUGUAGCGGUGAAAUGCGCAGAUAUCAGGAGGAACACCAGUGGCGAAGGGCGGUGCUCUGGGCCGAAUGACUGACGCUGAGGGAGCGAAAGCGUGGGGAGCAAACAGG